RNAcentral lists this long non-coding RNA (2649 nucleotides) under Sparus aurata (gilthead seabream). RNAcentral's name for it is "lncRNA (ENSSAUG00010018991.1)". Lineage: Eukaryota; Metazoa; Chordata; Actinopteri; Spariformes; Sparidae. The record is from RNAcentral.
AAACAAAACAAAUCGUAGCUGUCCGCAGGUGCACCGGCGCUCCUGGCCAAAUGUUCCAGGUUAGAAUGAAAGUUGAGACAGCUACCUCAGAAGAGGCUUUUCAGGUAAGACGUCCCAGAAUGCUUUGAGGAGAAACCCGCCAGCGUGCAUAUUUGUGUGUAAAGCAGUUGCCUUUUUUUUAAGGUCUUCAGCAGCUGCUCACCUCUGGGGAAAAGAUAAUUCCUUCUCUUGGCUGGAGGAUGAGACUUCAAUAAAGCUCUGAAAGCUGCCAGAAACUUACACCAUGUUAUGUAUCGGCGCAGAGCAAAUCCUCAACAUCCAGCCUCGUCCUUCUCCGUCACUGCCCCGCUCCGCAAAGACACAUGUACUCCAUCUUUGGCUGAGACACCUGUCCACACCGUGAGUCCCAUCUAUCACAGAUUCAGCAGGGUGACCCUGGUCUUCGUUUCCCAGCCUCCCGUCUUCGCCCUCCUCUGGAGUCGUCUCUGACCCGCCACAAGUCUGUAAGUAGGCCAGGUGAAUCAUGUGACUCUCAGAAACAAACCUACAGGUAUAAAAAUGCUAAGCCUGCAUAUGAUCGCUGCAUGGGAGAACAAAUGACCGACUUUACCCCAAUUAGACUUCACAACAGUUAGUUGCCAUGAUAUAGAUACUCUUUGUAAUAUAUGAGAAGCUGUCUACAGAUGAACAGAGGUCGCGUGGGUAGGAGCCCUGAUUCAGAACAAGAUUUUUUUUUUUUUUUAAACCUGAAAUAAGAUGAAGUUAAUCAAGAAGUGUGAGGUGAGAUUUACUGUACAGGAUAUUAACAGUACACACUGUAGUUUUGUACAGGAAGUCAGGAGCUUUAACCGAGUGUUUCCCUCUUGGAUCAAUUCACACAAAACCACUACAAGCUAAGUAGUGUACCCUGAACUCUCAAACAAAGUUGUGCUUCACCCGAACCUGCUCGCCGCUGAUGAAAAAGUUUCUUCUCAGGGCCAGCAGGUUACUUCCAAUAUGCAAUAAAACCGCCCGCCCACCAGGGUCAGCAUGAGAACAGCAGUUCAUAAACCGAGGGGCUGCUGCAGGAAGCUGCGAGCCGGGGCCUCGUCAGCGGCGGCUCCUUACAUUAGCAGAACAGCGAGCUCUUCCUCAGCGGUGAUGAGCGAAUGAAAUCUGGGUCACGUCAAUACACAUCCGGGCACCGCCGUCAUCACAGAGUCUCGCUGUCUCCUGAUCAAAGAGCACUGAGACCGUGUGUGUUCAAAUCAUACUUUGGUUCAAGUAAGAAAAGAAAAAUCAAUAUUCAUAAACUUUGUAUCUGACAACCACAACACCUUGCGCUAAUUAGCGAGUCUUCCCGGCUCCAGUGAAAGAGGGGCCGAAGAUUUACUGCAGUUGUGAUUUUCUUUUUCCUGAAGUGUUUGUCGGCUAAAAGUAGGAUGUGAUGUUUUUGCAUUUGAUGGGGCAGAAGUGUAGCGUGUGUGUGCGUGUGUGUGUGUGUGUGUGUUUGUGUGUGUGUCUGUAAAAGGGGGUUUUUCAGGGGAGAUCAGUUCACACUAUCACCAUCACACUUUCAAUCAUAUAACACAUGAUCACAUGUUACAGUAAAUAUCAGGGACAUAUUUAGUUGGAGGGGUGGGGGGGUCUGAUAUCUAUGUUCGGGGGCCAGAGGCUUUCCUGCCCACCCCCUCUACUCCCUGACAUCACCACAGCCCAUAUAAUAGAUAUGUAUAUAUAUUUAUAUACAGAAAAAAGAAUACAUACUUAUUGGACACCCUAGACAUUAAUGUACAUUCAAAGAACUGAACCAACAUUCUUGUUUAAACACGUUUACAGUGACUCUCCUGAUAUAAAGAAUUAAGGUUUCGCUUCCACCAAAAAGUAAAACUUCUUUUUUCUCUUUAAAAGUUUUCAGUGCUGCAAAAAAUAAACGAAACGGAAAAACACACAAAUAAAUAUUCUCAGAAUACAUUGACAAAAGAAAUCGACAUAUUUUUAGCCCUCGUUCCUUGUUACCGUUGGAUGGGCACUACUGUAUUUCUAUAAUGUUUUAUCUAGCGACAUAGUCUAUAUGCCUCAGGCUUGUGUUUUGGUUAUGCACCUGCUGAUGUAGUACAAUGGGAUUAUUCGAUUAUAAUUCAAUUUGUUACAUGGACGUUGAUGAGUUAUUCUCGUCAGGUGGAAACGUGCAUCCUUGGUAGUAACGCACCUUCGUUAUCGCGUCGGUCUGAUAGUUUGUCCGUCGGUGCAGAGUGACACAAAGGCUUGGGCUCGGAGUCUGGCAGGUGAGUAAAGUCGGCGACUUCUGCGCCAUUUUCUUUAACUAGUCCUCAGUCAUUGACCUCUGCUGGGGCGUGGAGAGGGGCAGACCGGGGAGGCUCGGCUUUAUACCGUCUCACCGUCCCGCCGUGGCUCACCCCCCCACUCCCCAACGCUGUAAACCAGUGACACUGCCCAUUGGGGAGGGCGGGGAUGCCCAAUGGUGCUGCCAGGAGAAAGUGACAUCACGACAGUAUCCACGGGGGACGCUGCUAACAGGAGGCGCUGCCGGUCAGUGACACCGCAACAAGGAGGAAGGAGCGACAUCACCGGCCCGGAAAAAAGGAAGGAGCGAAGUUUUAAGGAAGGAGGUCGGGGAGGUUGGAAGGAAGAAGGCGGAGCAGUGAG